Molecule: ribosomal RNA, 254 nt
Filed under: uncultured bacterium
Lineage: Bacteria
Description: partial 16S ribosomal RNA
Rfam family: Bacterial small subunit ribosomal RNA
Source: RNAcentral
UACGUAGGGCGCAAGCGUUGUCCGGAAUUAUUGGGCGUAAAGAGCUCGUAGGCGGUUUGUCGCGUCUGUCCGUGAAAGCCCGGCGACUUACCGGUGGUCUGCGGUGGGUACGGGCAGACUAGAGGUAGGUAGGGGAGAAUGGAAUUCCCGGUGUAGCGGUGAAAUGCGCAGAUAUCGGGAGGAACACCGGUGGCGAAGGCGGUUCUCUGGGCCUGUACUGACGCUGAGGAGCGAAAGCGUGGGGAGCGAACAGG